UACGUAGGUGGCAAGCGUUAUCCGGAAUCACUGGGCGUAAAGCGUGCGUAGGUGGAUUGUUAAGUGCGAUGCGAAAUCCUGUGGCUCAACCAUAUGGACUGUAUCGCAUACUGGCUAUCUAGAGGACAUGAGAGGCAAGUGGAAUUACUGGUGUAGCAGUGAAAUGCGUAGAGAUCAGUAGGAACACCAAUGGCGAAGGCAGCUUGCUGGCAUGUAUCUGACGCUAAGGCACGAAAGCGUGGGGAGCAAACAGG
This 254-nucleotide ribosomal RNA is filed under the name uncultured bacterium. Its description in RNAcentral is "partial 16S ribosomal RNA". It matches the Rfam family "Bacterial small subunit ribosomal RNA", at positions 524 to 776 of the family's 1533-position model. The record is from RNAcentral.